RNAcentral lists this ribosomal RNA (162 nucleotides) under uncultured Bacillus sp. RNAcentral describes it as "partial 16S ribosomal RNA". It matches the Rfam family "Bacterial small subunit ribosomal RNA", at positions 339 to 496 of the family's 1533-position model. The record is from RNAcentral. Lineage: Bacteria; Bacillati; Bacillota; Bacilli; Caryophanales; Bacillaceae.
CUACGGGAGGCAGCAGUAGGGAAUCUUCCGCAAUGGACGAAAGUCUGACGGAGCAACGCCGCGUGAGUGAUGAAGGCUUUCGGGUCGUAAAACUCUGUUGUUAGGGAAGAACAAGUGCUAGUUGAAUAAGCUGGCACCUGACAUACCUACCAGAAGCAGAUG